Molecule: ribosomal RNA, 1352 nt
Filed under: unidentified
Description: bacterial SSU rRNA
Rfam family: Bacterial small subunit ribosomal RNA
Source: RNAcentral
UUUCAAGCGAGUGGCGAACGGGUGAGUAACACGUGGAUAACCUGCCUCAAGGCUGGGGAUAACAUUUGGAAACAGAUGCUAAUACCGAAUAAAACUUAGUAUCGCAUGAUAUCAAGUUAAAAGGCGCUACGGCGUCACCUAGAGAUGGAUCCGCGGUGCAUUAGUUAGUUGGUGGGGUAAAGGCUUACCAAGACGAUGAUGCAUAGCCGAGUUGAGAGACUGAUCGGCCACAUUGGGACUGAGACACGGCCCAAACUCCUACGGGAGGCUGCAGUAGGGAAUCUUCCACAAUGGGCGCAAGCCUGAUGGAGCAACGCCGCGUGUGUGAUGAAGGCUUUCGGGUCGUAAAGCACUGUUGUAUGGGAAGAAAUGCUAAAAUAGGGAAUGAUUUUAGUUUGACGGUACCAUACCAGAAAGGGACGGCUAAAUACGUGCCAGCAGCCGCGGUAAUACGUAUGUCCCGAGCGUUAUCCGGAUUUAUUGGGCGUAAAGCGAGCGCAGACGGUUGAUUAAGUCUGAUGUGAAAGCCCGGAGCUCAACUCCGGAAUGGCAUUGGAAACUGGUUAACUUGAGUGUUGUAGAGGUAAGUGGAACUCCAUGUGUAGCGGUGGAAUGCGUAGAUAUAUGGAAGAACACCAGUGGCGAAGGCGGCUUACUGGACAACAACUGACGUUGAGGCUCGAAAGUGUGGGUAGCAAACAGGAUUAGAUACCCUGGUAGUCCACACCGUAAACGAUGAAUACUAGGUGUUAGGAGGUUUCCGCCUCUUAGUGCCGAAGCUAACGCAUUAAGUAUUCCGCCUGGGGAGUACGACCGCAAGGUUGAAACUCAAAGGAAUUGACGGGGACCCGCACAAGCGGUGGAGCAUGUGGUUUAAUUCGAAGCAACGCGAAGAACCUUACCAGGUCUUGACAUCCUUUGAAGCUUUUAGAGAUAGAAGUGUUCUCUUCGGAGACAAAGUGACAGGUGGUGCAUGGUCGUCGUCAGCUCGUGUCGUGAGAUGUUGGGUUAAGUCCCGCAACGAGCGCAACCCUUAUUGUUAGUUGCCAGCAUUCAGUUGGGCACUCUAGCGAGACUGCCGGUGACAAACCGGAGGAAGGCGGGGACGACGUCAGAUCAUCAUGCCCCUUAUGACCUGGGCUACACACGUGCUACAAUGGCGUAUACAACGAGUUGCCAACCUGCGAAGGUGAGCUAAUCUCUUAAAGUACGUCUCAGUUCGGACUGCAGUCUGCAACUCGACUGCACGAAGUCGGAAUCGCUAGUAAUCGCGGAUCAGCACGCCGCGGUGAAUACGUUCCCGGGUCUUGUACACACCGCCCGUCACACCAUGGGAGUUUGUAAUGCCCAAA